AGGAUGUUCGGCUUCGGUCACCACGGCCACCAUGGCCAGAACCCCCCCGCCCACGCUCCGCCCGCCGCCGGCGGCAACCAGCCCACCUUCAAGAUCUUCUGCAAGGCCGACGAGGGCUACUGCCUCUCCGUCCGCGACGGCAACGUCGUCCUCGCCCCCUCCAACCCCCGCGACGAGCACCAGCACUGGUUCAAGGACAUGCGCUUCAGCACCCAGAUCAAGGACGAGGAGGGUAACCCCGCCUUCGCCAUCGUCAACAAGGCCACUGGCCUCGCCGUCAAGCACUCCCUCGGCCAGUCCCACCCGGUUCGUCAUCUUCUCUUUCCCCUCUCUUUUUUUCCCUCUUUCUUUCUUGAGAAAACAUUCCCCUGUUAUGGUUGCAACUAUUCGUCCGUCCGGUUUCCGAAUCUAGAUUCGUUCUACUAGUGCUUAUUAGUAAUGGAAGUGGAAUGAUUUGUUUGGGUGUGCAGGUGAAGCUGGUGCCAUUCAACCCGGAGUUCCUCGACGAGUCCGUGAUGUGGACGGAGAGCGGCGACGUCGGCAAGGGCUUCCGCUGCAUUCGCAUGGUGAACAACAUCCGCCUCAACUUCGACGCCCUCAACGGCGACAAGGACCACGGCGGCGUGCACGACGGCACCACCGUCGUCCUCUGGGAGUGGGCCAAGGGCGACAACCAGAGCUGGA
This 684-nucleotide long non-coding RNA is filed under the name Hordeum vulgare. RNAcentral's name for it is "long non-coding RNA (HVUL_LNC010346)". The record is from RNAcentral. Lineage: Eukaryota; Viridiplantae; Streptophyta; Magnoliopsida; Poales; Poaceae.